UAUAAUAAAUAUAUAGUUAUUGUAAAAUAUCUGAAACCUUCCUCUUUCGUUAUUCUCUAGUAGUGAAAUAUGAACAGACAAAAAUCAGAUUCUGGACGCCAAUAUUUUUGUUACAAAAAACACAAUCACUUUAGUGAUUGUUGCUGACUAUCCUAAAACAAAUUAUUAUAGACUAUCAACCAGUAAAGUGAUUACAUAUACUCAUACCUAUGUUUUAAAACAGUAAGUUUCAAGUUCUAACUCACCUUACACAAAGCUGAGUUAUUACCUAUAAAAUCAAUUUAUUUAUUUUUAGUGGACAUAAAAAACUAAAUCACCAUUUGAUUUUUUUUUUCAACUAUUAAGCAUCCAUGAUUAAUCCCCAAAAAAUAAUUAAAUUUUACCAUCAAACACGAAUCUAACAAAUUAUAUUGUUUAAUACAUGAGUAUGAAUCUAAUUACUGUCGAAAAGGUGGUUCGAGAAUAGGAACGAGCAGGCUCAAUAUGAUUGAAAUUGAGCCUGUCAAUUCCAUCUUAAGUUGGAUUUUAAUUUCAAAAACACAAACUCCACUAAACAACACACAAUUAUUAAAAUAGUAUGUAGCACAUAAUUAUUCUCACAUAUUAAUAUCCUAAUAUCCCAAAUCAAUUUCAUCAAAACAUACUAUAUCCUUAACAUAUUUGAGUGAAUCAUGAUAAACUCUGUACCAUCCAGAUCAAGAACAGUAAAAAAAAACUGCAUAUAGCCAUAUACUAUCAACAAAUUUUGAAAAUUUAAAUUGUCUUUAAUAAAUUGGAUUCCAUCAAUUUAUAUUCCUUAAGAGCGAGCGAUUUAAAUACAUCAUAUUGAUUUUAAUCACUGCCACAUACAAGUUGUUUUAUGUACAAUAUUGCAAAACGAAAGACAAGAAGGACAAGUAUUACCUUUAAUUUCCAGUGCACAACAAGAAUCACCAGCACAAACGACAAUUAAUUUAGUACCUCACGAAGUCUAGAUCCCCAUCCAUGAAAGAACACCGAAAAUCACAAAUAAGAGAAAUUAAUUUAGGGAAUUAGGGCUUCUUUAAAAAAAUAAAAGGUUAAUAAACAAAUCAAAAAAUUGAGGACGCCCAUACCUGUUACAGCUUAAAAAUAAUGGAGUGGGCAAGAAAACACCAACAAUUUGGACCAGAGAGACGGAUGUCUAUAUGACGAAUAUUUUGGGGCGCCAAUUCAGAUCUAUCUGCUUGCGUGAGCGAUGCCAGAUGAUCGGAACAAAGAUUCAGCGUGGAGAGGAUUCGAAAUUGAUAAACGAUGUUCUUAAAACUGCUGCGUGUUUAAGGGAAGAUGGAGAGACGGCAGAGUUCUAAUACGCUAAAGGAUUCUAAUACGCGGCAGAGUUAAUUUUUUUUCCAAUUUUUUUAGCAAAUAGCGGCAAAUAUCUAAUAUAGCGUUUUUAUUUUUUAAUUACUAUUAAUUAAAAAUACUAAAUAUUUACCACAGCACUUAUGUUGGAAACGCUAUAAAUAAAUGCUAUUAAAGGAUACAUUUGUUGUAGUGGCUCCAUCCUACGACCCGCAGCGAGGAAACUCCCACGAGGAGCCAACUCGCUCGAUACUACAAAUCUGUUGCAAGGCAACUCCCACGUGCAACCACCUCGCUCGAUAAUAAGACUCGCAGCGAAAUAACUCCCACGAGGAGACAACUCGCUCAGAGCAACCUCAAUCCGCGCGCGCCUCAAUCGCGCGUCAUCUAAUGCUCCUACAACUUCGCUGCAAGACAACUCUCUCGAAGAGACAACUCGCAUGAAAUUCACUAUAUAAUCGCAAGCUCAAGUUAGCACAAUUACAACCCUAGAAGCACUUAGAGAUAUUAGGAGAAUCUAUAUAGCCUGGCCAGCUUGAUUACUCAAAUUUAUCUACUUGUUUUCGAUGGGUCAUUCAUUAAAACGUGGCCACGGUCCAAACAUACUUAAGACCCACGAGGUCUAACAAGGGGCACGACCCCCAUAAAAAAAAUCUUGAGAGUCUGAUCCCCUCCUCAAGUACAUCACGCACAAGGCUAUAUAUAAACACAUAUAAGCAACGCGUCAAAACAUUGACAAUGUCGAAAAAUAACAACUCCCACGAGGAGAAUACUAGCUCCGUGCUACUACAUUAUCGUGAGACAACUUCCACGAGGACAUAACUCGAUCAACUCUAUUACCCCAGAGACAACUCCCACGAGGAGAUUACUUGAUCUGUGCUACUACAUUAUCGUGAGACAACUCCCACGAGGAGAUAACUCGAUCAACUCUAUUACCCCAGAGACAACUCCCACGAGGAGAUUACUUGAUCUGUGCUACUACAUUAUCGUGAGACAACUCCCUCGAGGAGAUAACUCGAUCAACACUAUUACCCCACGACGAGACAACUCCCACGAGGAGAUAAUUCGCUACUACAUCGUCGCGGGACAAAACCGACGACUCAAUUAACUUACAUCGCGACAACUUGGUCGCGCUAUGCACCAAUGCGCAUUCACGCCCCUCCGACACACGCUCCAACGCGUUAUCGCACACCAUCGACCACUACAAUUUUUACUCUCGACACGAUAUGUCACCCAUUUCAACAUGGGCCCCACAUCGACUCGAGAGUGGGGGGCUUAAUGAUAUGCCUAAUUGGCCCAACCCAAUGGGCCUACAAAUUAUUUACCUACUGGGCCACGAGCCCAAUAUCGAAGACUACUAUCACCGAGGCCCAAUCACCUUCAAGCAAGGUUUGGGCCCGACAAUCUCAACUAAGCUAUAAAUACACAUUUGAACUCAUUCCAUAAGGUACGUCCAAUUAACUGAGCAAUACUACAAUACGUAUUAUCUGGACUAUUUCUAUGAUCAGCAUGUCUGACUUGAGCGUCGGAGGGGUUUCCGGCGGAUCAACCCCCGGCUUAGUUCAUGUGUUCUAUGAUCGCAGGUACCUCAGGAUCAUCAAGUUGUCAAGCUACUGAUCUGCUUUGCUCUCCCAGUUCAUUUUCUACACCACCCCAGGUGAUCUAAGUAAUUAGCAUCAUCAAUGUUAUUUGUCUAUAAAAUCUUUUGUUUAACAAAACUAACAUAUAUUUAUAAGGCGGGUUUGAAUGUAAUCACACUAAGCUAAUUACGUGUCACAAGCUCGAUCUAACGACUGUUGGCAUGUGGAUACGAAGUUGCGUCAACUGACACAAGCUCACUUGCUCCAACCGUUAUACGAUUCCUUGCAGGACUAAGUUAUCAUCUAUUUGUUUAAUAUAAAAUUGGUAAAUACUUUUUCAAGAUUAUUGAUUACAAAAUUGAGAAAUAGUCAAAAUAUGAUAUAAUCAUAUAAUAUAAUUAAUCCACUAUUAAGACUAUUUCACCGAUUUAAUCAUAGUCCCUGCAUGGCAUCUUGACGAGGCCAAACAUCUAAUUACGUACUGUGUCUAAUUACAAGUUAACAAAUAUCUAAUAAAAUAUGUAAUAAUAUAUAAUAAUUAAUAUGAACAAUCAAACUUUGAAAAUUUCCCCACCUGCCCCACCCCCACCCCCACCCCCACCAACCACCCCCAGGCCAAUCCAAUCCAAUCACCCUCAAACAUCAACUCAUGUUUUCACGUAAUUAACGUGUAAUUUAUCAUCAUAUAUUAUUUAUUUAAUUAAAUAACCAAAAAAAUUGUUUACCUUUUCUCAGUGCCAUGCAAAUUUAAUAUACAAAUUAAAAAAAAAAAACGUCUGCAUCAUUUGGUAAGCUGCUUUUCCAAAUACAUGCAUUGAACCUCUAUAUAUAUACACGCACAUUCACUCCCUUUUUCCUCACAACAAACAAACUCGAUAUAUAUCACUACAAAACAAAAUACACGAAAAAAUGGCAGCCUCCUCUUCUUCGUCUUCGUCCUCGUCUUAUUCGUCGGUGUUUGUGAUUGCGACUUUACUAAUUGUCUUAUUGAUGAAUGUGGGGCCCUCGUCGGCUCAACUGACAGAGGAUUACUACAAGAAGACAUGCCCGAAGGUGUUCGAUACCGUCGAGUCCGCCGUUAAGUCCGCGAUCAAAAAGGAGAAACGCAUGGGCGCCUCCCUCAUCCGACUGCACUUCCACGAUUGUUUUGUCCAAGUACGUAUUUUAUAUAUAUAACUAACUUCUCGUAAUUUUCAAGCUUCAUUAGAUGCGCUAAUCAUUAUUUUUCUUCUUCAUUUUUUUAGUAAUUAUGUAUUACCUUAAUAUGAUUAUUAAAAUUUGGACAGGGGUGUGACGCGUCAGUACUACUGGACGACACAUCAUCGUUCACCGGCGAGAAGACUGCGGCCCCCAACAAUAAUUCGAUAAGGGGUUUCAACGUUGUGGACGAUAUCAAGUCCAAGGUGGAGUCCGUGUGCCCCGGUGUCGUCUCAUGCGCCGAUAUUCUAGCCAUUGCCGCCCGCGAUUCUGUCUCCAUUGUGAGUUUUUAUAAAUUUUUGGGUAAAUUACAACCAUCCCCUAAGGUAUGGUCAAAUUACGAAAACCCCCUCUUGUUUGGGCAAUUACAACCACCCCUUAAUUAUAAAUCUUCUUACACGUCCACCCUUACAAUUUCAAAUUUAGUGGAAUCUUCGAGAUUAUAUGGAAUAUUAUCACUUUUGUACCCGUUUUAUCCCAUCCGAAUUCCACAUUUUGAAGCAAGAUGAUCAUAAUAUGUUUUUUGACUUGUACUUAUCCGAUUGUGGUGCAUCAAAAACUGUAUUUUUACACAAAACGAGUACAAACUAGAGCACAUUCCACGAUAUGUAGAUGAUUAUGUUGAAUUUGACACCAUAAGGGUGGAGGUGUAGGAAAAAAUCAUAAUUAAUUAUAAUGGUUGUAAUUUACCCUAAAUUUUAUAACUAGUACCGAUAUUUAAUUAUAAUCAUUGUAGCUAGUGCUCCAUUUGUAUGAAAGAAUCUGAAGACGGGGGCCCACGCCCCCCGUCGCCUCAUCUUGGCUCCGCCACUGAAUAUAUAAUAAUUAAAAUUAAUUAAUUGCAGCUCGGAGGGCCGGAAUGGGAUGUGAAAGUCGGAAGACGAGACUCGAAAACGGCGAGCCUUGCGGCUGCAAAUAGUGGUGUGAUUCCACCACCAACUUCAACUCUUAACAACCUUGUCAAUAGGUUCCAAGCUAGAGGACUCUCCACCAAGGACAUGGUUGCAUUAUCAGGUCCUCAUAUUUAUAUAUAUUUGCAUUCAACACCCCACAUUUUCUCUAAUUGCUAAAACACCCCAUAAUUCAAUUUUUUUAGCAAAUCACCCCCUAAAAACUCAUUAUCUAGGGUUUUUUUUAGCAAUUUGAUAUAACAUAGGGGCACUAAAUGCAAUAAACUCAUUUUUGAUUUUGUCUAAAAAAACAGGAGCACACACCAUUGGGCAGGCGAGAUGCAGCCUGUUCCGAACGCGUAUAUACAACGAGACGAACAUAGACGCUUCUUUCGCUCGUAAGAGACAAGAUAACUGCCCCCGCACGACCGGGUCGGGCGACAAUAACUUGGCCUCACUCGACGUCAAAAGCCCCACAUUCUUCGACAACGCUUACUACAAAAACCUAAUCAAGAAGAAGGGGUUGUUGCACUCCGAUCAGAUUCUGUACAACGGUGGAUCGACGGAUUCGCUUAUCGAAACGUACAGCAAGAAACCUGAGACGUUCAACGAUGAUUUCGUCACGGCUAUGAUCAAGAUGGGUGACAUCAGCCCCCUCACUGGAUCCAAUGGUGAGAUCAGAAAGAAUUGCAGGAGGGCCAAUUGAUUACACAAUCUGAAUUAUUAAUAAAAGUAUUUCGUUUUGAUUUUUUUAUUGGUUUUUUUUUUUUUUUUUUUUUUUUUUUUUGGUUUUUUGGGGGUUGGAAUCCAAUAAAUGGCAUGUUGGCCUUGGUUUUGUUUUUAUUUGUGUGUCAAUUGUAAUUGACUCUCUCUCUCAUUUUGUAUUUUGAAAUUAUACUUAUUUGUUAAUUUACUUGGUGUGUGACGUCAUAAAAUAAUGUUAUAUAUAUACUACAAAUAUAUAGAUAUUUAUAUACAAUAGAUUAAAUCAUUAUAAUACAGUCUAUGUAUUCAUUCAUUAAGACCUCCAUGCAAGAUGAAUUUUGAAUUUUAAUUAAAAUUCAAAUUAACAAUUGGCAUCGCUAAGUUACGGUCACUCCUGAGGUAUGGUCAAAUUACAAAAAAACCCAUAUGUUUGGAUAAUUACAAUUAGACCCCUCAACUAUGAAUCUUCUUACACGUUCACUCUUAUGGUGUUAAAUUCAACAUAAUCUUCUAGAUUCAGUGGAAUAUUCUCCAAUUUAUAGUCAUUUUGUGCAAAAAUUAAGUUUCUGAUGCACCACAAUCUAAUAUUUACAAACCCAUAGACAAAUCUUAUAAUUAUCUUAGCUUGUUUCAAAAUCAUGUAGAGCUCGAAUGAAACAAAACGGAUACAAACUGGAAAAUAUUCUACAUAACUAGAAGAUUCCACUAAAUUUGACACAAUAAUGGUGAACAUGUAAGAAAAUUCGUAGUUGAGGAUUGGGUAGUUAUAAUUACCAAAAAAUAAGGAUUAUUUUAUUUUAUUUUUUUCUCAUAAUUUGACCUUACCUCAGGGAUGAACGUAAUUUACGACAAGAAUGAAAUCAAGCAUAGAGCAGCCUAAUAAUACUUGAAUAGCAACCACUUGACCUGCCAUUAAUGCUUUGACCAUAGGAUGACGUGGAAACCGGUGACUCAGCACGUGAUUCAUGACCCUGCUGCUCUUCUAUCCUGGAAUCAUCAAACGAUGACGUCAUCCUCCUAGGAGAAGAACAACUCCGAACCCUACGUUGUUUCGGAGUAGUACUGCUACUACUCAGCGGAGACGACGAGCUCGUUGACCAGGAUGAAGAAGAUGUUGACCUUGAUGGUGGGGACUGGUUAUUGAGCUUGAGCUUGGGGAGAAGAACACUCGGUACGAGGUUGUUUUUUUUGCGUUGACUAUGAUUCUUUUUGGCGGAGACGGCGGCCGGGCUGGAAUGGAAUGAAGGUGGAGGUGUUAGAGGAGGGAUUAGUAACGGAGAUUCCGGCCGCCAGCUGGAUUUGUAUUUAGGUGUGCCUGGUUGAGAUUCCCACAUGAACGGAAUAUUCCCAACCGAACUUUUUGAUCUAUAGUAAACAUCAUCCGAUGAAGUGUCGUCGAUCAUGAUCGGAAAAUCACCCGAUACCCGUUUCGAAAAAGAGUACAGACUUUCUUCGCGGGACUUUUUUGUCCUAAUGGAGUUUAGUGCUGCUAAUACUUCUGUCUUCAUAAUCAUAUAUAUAUAAUCAUAUAUAUGUAUGUAUAUAUGCUUAUUAAUUACUACUUUCUGAAAAAAAGGGUUUUCUUGGUUAGGGUUGAGGAGUAUAUUUUGUUUUUGAUGUUGGGUGAUUUUUAUUGAUAAUUAGUUAAGGGCAAUUAAGAAGAGGGUUUUGGUGUGGUUAAUAUAUUGAGUUUUUGAAAGAGAAACCCUAACCAUUUGAGAAUGACUUCCAAACUCAAAUUUAGGGUGUUAGUUAUCUUAAUAAUAUCAUAUUUAUAGUAUUAUAUAUAUAUAUAUAUACAUAUAUUAAUAUAUAUAUUUAUAUAUAUAGUUGGAUCCAUAGAUGGGGGAUUUUAAUUAGUUGUUUAAUUAUUUCACAUGCAUGGACUGCCUUGAUUAGCCAAAUUAUAAAUUAUGAAGUCAAACUGAUUUAAGAAUAUAUAUAUAUAUAUAUAUAUAUAUAUAUAUAUAUAGCAUAAGUAUGUUGUAUAAAUGUACAUAGCGUGGUAAUAAUGAAUAACAUGUGUAAAUAUAUUCAAGGUGAAUAAGAAUUACGUUCUCGUAUGGUUUGCAAGCUGCUAUAUAUACGAGAGUGUAGGUUUACGAUCAGUGCACCUAUAUAUAUGAUUGGUUGUGAUCGAGUUUCUUUGUUACAUAGAAAAGAAAAAGGGUGAAUAAGAAAUCUCACCUUCUUUCACUAUUAAUUAAGAUGAUGUUAGUUCGAUUGGUUUAAUCGACGUUGACAAUACAUAUGUUGUUAAUUAACCUAAACAAACGAAUAAUUGAAAAAUAAAUAAAUAAAUGAAAUUAAUACUACUCAGAAACCACGUUCCAAAACAAGUAAUAGUAAUUAACCAAAGAGAAUAUGGCGCCCAAAUUUGAAGGAGGGAUCACGUGCUUACUCGCACUGUCACGUGCCUAUCUCUGAUCCGUAUUUAAUUUUAUUCAAUAAUUUAAUUACGAGUUAAUAUAAAAUUUUGGAUUUGCAUUUAAUGAAGGCAUAGUAAAAGUUGCCAAAAGGAUAUCGUUGAAUCUGUAAAGGGGUUUUUUUGAAAAUAAAUAAAAUUGGUGUACUACUUUGCAGUGAAACUUUAUCUUUUGUGGGGCUAAAUCAAAUAUUCACAUUUUACCAUCGAUAAUUGUCUUGUUUAGACUAAUGAUCGUCGCUAAAGUGGGUCCCACCAAAACAAGCUGGAAGAUUAUCGCUAAGGUAAUCACCGACUGUUCCGGUAAACUUCUUCAUCUGCUCUAGGAUCCGACUGAAUAAUGACGUGGCACCACCUGUGCCUCCUCUUUGCUCAAUCCCACGUGGCUUCUCGAACCCUUUUUCACAAAGAAAAAAAAUUAAAAUAAUAAAUUUUAAUUAAAAGCAUUAUUUUGAUAUAAAUUUUUGGGUAAAUUACGGAAAUACUCUUAAACUUAAACUUAAUUAUGAAAAAACCAUAUACAUCCAUAAUUACCAAAAUUCCCGCCACCCUGCAAGCGCGAUAUUUAUUUAUGCUACUUUUUAUAUUUAUUUAUGCUACUUUUUAAAUACAAAAAUUACACUUAGGGAGCCUUUACACGGAAUGUUUAUUUUUCUUAAGUAAUAUAUUCACAACCUUUUAGUAUUAACAUUAUCUCUGAUGAUAAUUUUUGUCUUUAAAAAAAUAGUUAAUAAUUGCCACGUCUGUAGGGGUAGAAUCGGCAUUUUCAGAGACUAAAAUACUCUAGAAUAAAAAAGAUUCCGUGAAAAAAUCACACGGUAAAGAAGCCGGUAUAAGACGAAAACAAACGUCGGGGGUCUGGUAAUUACUAAUUAUGGAUAGAUGGGGUGUUUUGGAUUUUGAUAAUUAUGGUGGGGUAUUAUUCAUAAUUUAGCAUAAGUUAAGGGAGAUUUUCAUAAUUUAGCUUAAUUUGAAUGAAAGAAUUGUUGGUUGAGAAAACACACCGGCUUCGAAAAGACACUGCUGAAGACUACUAACAUAAAGCUCAUCAUUAUCUGUGAAGAACUCUCCAUCAUCAGCUUGAAGCCUGCACCAUAAUAUAUAAGAUUACGAUUAAAUCACCCUUAAUUAUAUAUCAUUAAUUAAUUAAUUGUGGACAACACUUACAAAUUAUUCAUCUUUGAGUAAAAUCUAUAAUUAUUAUCAGAUUGUGAUCCUUGUGCACUCAAACCAGUCAUCAUACCUGCAAUUAAAUUAAAUUAUAUUCAAUUUAAAAAAAAAACAGAACUGAAGAAAAAACUCUUUAUAUUUAAAAAAAAAUAAUAAUAAAUAUAUAAUAAAUAAAUAAAAAGAACAGAACGAACCUUAGAAUCGGAACGAAGAAAUAGAUUGGCUAAUUUGGUGAACCUGUUCUCGAAUAUUCCCCUACAUAUAUAUAUUUAGUGGGGCUUGCCCUUGUCCUACUAGAGUUCUAUUUGAUUUUGGAUUUGCCUUUUUUAUAUUUUUGCCUAAUUAAACUUGAAAUAUUUAUGAUUAAAAUAUUAUUUGAUUUAUAUUAUGGUUAUGUAUAUAUAUAAAUAUUGACUCCAAAUAGGAAUAUAUUAAGGUUUUCUUUUUUUCUUUCCUUUUUUUGGAUUUAAAAGUUUUUUGUGGAAUAUUUAUAUUGGCAUAAUAUUUUAGUAACAGUAAAUAAUAAUACCAUAAAAUAAUAAUAAAGAAUUAAAAAAAGAAAGAAAGAUAGAUUACACAAGGAAAUUACAGUGCUCAUACAAACUUGUAUACAUGAUUUUCCUUCCACACACUAAUUAUACAUACAUUGGAGAGUUGGUCAAGUCAAUUACAUCAGGAAAGAAACUACUAGUUGGCCUUCUCUUCUUCUUGCAUGGCAAUGGUGUAAUUAUAUCUAUGAUCUCAACUUCAUCUUUGUCUGUAGCAACUAAGCGAGUUGCCGCCGCCGCCGAUUCUUUCUCAAGUGGCUCGUCCACCUCCGUAAUUAACUCGACCAACCUGUGAUUUUUUCGCGCAUUUCCAGCAAUACAGGAGCUAUUAUGUAACGAAAACGACGUUCUUACAGGAGGGGAUUCAUUAUUAUUAACAAUAAAGAACUGCCCUUUGUCUUCGUCUUCUGUAAUUUGAGGUGAAUUCUUCGGCCAAUCUUCUGCCCGUGUUUUUGCUGCGCAGCAUCCACUCGAUUCAAUUUCUCGGUGAAUGUAUUCUUCCUUACUACCUACACAGUUAGGGAAACCGUCAUUUUUUGUUGAUGAUUCUUCGUCGGUUGCUUCAGUAAUUGGAGGUGAAUUCUUCGGCCAUACUUCUGCCCGUGUUUUUCCUGAGCAGCAUCCACUCGAUUCAGUUUCUCGGUGAAUAUAUUCUUCAUUACUAUAGUAAUGGAAAUCGUCAUUUUUUCUGGAUGAUUCUUCUUCGGUCGAUUCAUGGGAAAGACCUUCACAUCCGUCAUCGUCAUCAUCGUUUACGAUUGGACAAUCGUUGGCAAUAUUGUAACAGGGCAAAUCAUCCAUGGGAGAGAUUUUUGUCCUCAUCUGCUCGGGCAAUGCAGGGCAGCCCGAGGUGUGCGUUUGGUAUUUAGUCGAGAACAGAUUCACCGUCAGGUUCAAACUGACAGAGACGAAAACGAAGCCGUUAGUACACGCUACCGAAAACAAAAACGAAAAAAACCCGAAUUCAGAAUUAUCUUAAGAACACCUUUGCCAGGGUGGAAGAGUGAGCAUUGUGUAGGCCAAUUUGAUCUUGUUAGCAAUUCCAGAGAGGGAUUUGAAAUUUACAGCUGCCUUUCGUACUGCUAGCGAUUCGACCGGGUGUUGCCACGCCCACUCGAACUGGAAUUAAUUUAAUUUUGAACAUUUAUCAAACACUAGCAAAAUUUCAUCAUUAAAUCAAUUUUACUUGUUUCUUUCUAAUAAUUCGAAAUAUCAAUAAUAAUAUAAUUCACCGACACGAGCAGCUGAAAAAUUAGGUCUAGAAAAAAAUUAAUUAAUUUUUUUGAAUGAAGAUAAAGAAGCACCUGAAGAGCGGCGACGUUAGUAGGGAAGCCGUGGAUGCACAGCACCAUUUCCCAUGGGCGCUUCUUCUUCGUCCGCCACGCGCCGCUCCCGAUCUCGCCGUUGUGCUGCCGUAUUCUCCGCCGUGGAUUCACUGUAAAUCUGUAAAACGAAAAAAAAAGAAGAAAUUUUAUACAUCAGUUAUCAAUUAUCAAUAUGAAUCAGGAGUGAAAUCCAGAAUGGAAUCGAACCCGAUGUAGGUGUGGCCUUUGAAUCUGGGGCAGACUGAAGUGAGGAGAUAGCACGCGAAGAAUCCAGCACCUUUUCCAUCAUCUCCUUCUUCCACUUCUCCACCGUUUUCAUGUAUGGCUUCUUCUUCAUUCUCUUUUCUCCCCUUCCUUUUCCCCAUCUCUCUCUCUCUCUCUCUCUCUCUCUCUCUGUUCUGUCUGAUAGAAUUGGAUAAUGGAUACCCCAAUAUCGAUUGCAGAAAUUCGACCGUUGCAACACACGGGUCUCGUCUUUUUUAUUGUAUGGAAUGGGCUAAAAUAUUUAUAUUUCUAGGUUCAGCUUUCAUUUUUGGGCCGAAUUUAUGGACCGGGCCCACCUUCAAUUUAAUCCUUGAUAUUUGGAAGUUUGAAAUUAUUUUUAUUAUUUUAAUUUCCCUUUUUUUGCGAGGAAAAUAAAUCAUUUUAAUUUCCAUAAAGCACCACUAUUAUUAUUUCACAAAUAUUAUAUAAGAGAUUAUUUCUUUAAAGCAUUAUUUUUUUAUGCGAGGUGCUAAAUACCAUCCAAUGUUAUUUUUUUACUAAAUUCUGUUAAAAAUAAAUUUACUCUUGAUCAUGACGUAAUUUUUUUGUUUUUUUUUUUGUUUUUGGUUGUCUGCAAGAGGUCGAGUAGUUGGUGGAAAGAGAAUGCCAAAUUACCCGAACUUGAAUUUCCUUGCCACUAGUAUCAGAUUUUUGCAAGGGGGGAGUGCUAUCUAUGGCAGUGAUGAACGAUGACUGAUGACGAGGGGGACGUUUCAAAGCGUGAUGGGUUCAUAGUCGUUUAUCAAACGAUACGAAAUAAAAAAAUAAAAAUAAAAAAUUAAAAAAAAUUGUGUCGUAGUCUACUAUAUCAUAUCAUAACUUAACAUUAACUGAAGUAACGUUCACCAUUGGAGUCAAGAUGAUAAACAAUCACAAACACCCAUCACAUCGUUAAAAUAAGUCGUGUACGGAAAAAAACGACCCCGUAAACUAAAAUAAGGAAUGACAUAUCUUCUAUUAUAAGUGCAAUUAUAACACCAGAAGCAAGACAAAUUGCAGACCAGCGUUGUUUAGCAAAUCGGAAAAACGUCCAUAUGUCAAAAGCCCGGGUCAGAAACAUGCAUUGCUAGAAUUGCGUGUAAAAAAGAACGAAAAUAAUAUGCUUCUUUUCAACCAUAAAUAACAACUUCCAACAGCCCUCUAUUCUGUGUGCUCAUCGGAAAAAACCAAAUUUCAAAGAAGCAGAUGGAAACAAAUAUACUAUUCGUUUCGACUAGGAGAAGGAGUCGGAAAGCUAGGGCAUGGGAAUGACAAGAGUUAAGUGGCAAAAAUGAUACCAAGAAAGUUGAAGUAAUCGAUCCCCCACUUCACAUAACCACAACAACGCAAAGUAUGUUGAUAUACCUUUAAAUAAAGCUGAAACGUAUUUCAAACGUAAAAUUAGUUCAUAACAAGCAUAUCCUUCAAAAUCACAGAUUCUUUGGUAUAAUACCGCUCUCGGGCCCUAACUAAUGUAUGAAGAAAUUUUGCUGGACGACGUAUAAAAACUUAUCACAAUUUAUAACAGGUGAGCUAACAUUCACAAUUUAUUCUCUGCUCGACAAUUCAUUGACUACAAUAUAUUCUUCAAGACAAUCCAUGCCUAGACAAACGCAAUUUCCAAACGAUCGUAGUUAAAAGACUUCAAUAUCAGAUUAAGUCAGAUGUUCGUUACUUUUUGAAGAAUGGAUGUGAAUAACGAGCACAUCAAAAAAGAGUCCGAGUCUCUUCUCUUAACAAAAUGGAUAAAAAAAAAAGGUGAUCUCCGAGAAGAUAACAAAUUUAAUACGCACAUAGUAAAACAAUAUAACAAGUAAAACCCCGCUUAACAAAAAGUCGACAAAUGUAUUCUAUAUAUUCGAGUAUAAUGUCAAACUGACGACAGAAAAAAGAGCGAAAAGGGGAUAUAAAAUUGUAUGAUCUUCAUCUAUACAAGCAAUCGUUUCAUAACAACUCACAAGAAGUACGGCAACACAAUUUUCAUUCUUGCUUUUUCGAAGCACGUAUGUAAAAACUCUACAACCGAGAUUAUUCAAGAAAAAAUCACCAUAACAGAAAAAGAACUGUCGGACACGACGUAUUACUGACCGAAUUAAUCGGCAGAGAGCUUCUCCGUCGAAGAGGAUGAAGAAGCUAAGUUCCUCCAUAGAUAUUUGCCGCUUGCCAUGUCAACAAAUGUCCAAAACCCCUUCCCCACGGCCGCGCAAACCUAAAAUCACAUUAUGAAAUUCAAUUUUUUUUCCCCCUCAAUACAGAAUUGUUCAUACAAGGAAAAUAAAAUUCACUCAGGGCUCAAUUUCAACAAAUUAUGGAAGAACAAUUAAAAAACAAAUUUCACAAAUCAUCAAUUGAUCUGUAAUUGCAUGUACACUACAUAAUUUCGCUUCAUUAUCGACUUUCGAAAAACAAAUUUUCAACCUCAGCCAUUUUUUUACUUCAAAAUUGAAAAUUGAGGAAGAAUAAAAAAAAGGAAUUAAGACGAAUAAAAUACCUUGGAAGACAUGGGAGCGGCGCCGGUGGAUUCAGCUUCUUCGGCGACGUCGACGCCGUCGUCGUUCAGGGGGUCCGGCGAAGAGUUGAGGUUUCUAAGAACGAAGAAUCCGGCGAGGGUAGCAGAGAGAAAGAUGAGAAUUAUUCUGAGCGGACACAUCUCCGAGUUUCUCUCUCUUGAUUUUCUAGAGAGAGAAAAAAAAAUUACUUGAUUAUUGGGAGGAGAGAAGAAUAUAAUGGUAUUUAUUAUUAGUGUUAAUGGGAGUUGAUUUAAUUCUAGUAUAUUUCUACUAUUAUUAUUAUUAUUAGGUCAUGUUACUCACAAUUAUUGAUCGAUUUUAUAAAUACCAAUGUCAAUUUUUUAAAAUAAUAAUCCUUGAAUGGGUUUGGUCAAUCAAUUCACCUAAUCCUUGACCCUAUGCGCGUAAAGAAUAGGGCAAAUUCAGAAUCUCUUAAUCCUAAUUAAUUCAGGAAUAGGAGUAUGUAAUUAGUUUAGGAAUAGGGAUUAAUUGGAUUACACUUAACUAAAUUGAUAUAAAGCUCUUCAAAUUAACGUUAAUUUUAGUGAAAAUCAGCUAAUUUCAGUGAUAUGUAAGCUACCUAUAUUGACUUUAUUGACAAUAUAGACUUUUAAUUAUACUACAUUGAUGAAUAUCUUGUUAAAUUGGCGUUAACUUUACUACACUGAUUGUAUAACUAUUUUUUUUCGAAACACAUGCACCCAAAGAGAUUUGAAUUUCCGACCUCUCAUUAAGCCAAAGCUUAAUUGGUAUGAAAAAAAGCGACUGGAAUAAGUUUUUAAAAGUUACAAUACUGAUUUUUCAAGUUACCAAAUUAACCGACCCAUUAUUUUCUUGAUACGAUUUAACACUCAAAUCUCGAAAAAUAUAGAAGUGGUACAUUGUUUCAUCGGCAGUGUAAUUGAAUUUUAAAUCGAAGGAUUAUAAGUUACAUAGUGACUUAUAAGAUACUACACCUGGUAAAAUACAUCAUUGAUUUUCAACUAUAGAUCUACAGUACAUAGUGUAUUUCACCAGAUGUAGGUUCUACAAAACUAGUCGCAUAAUAUAUUAUUGAAAAAACAAUAGACAUAAGAUCACUAUCUUAAAUAGUAAAAAUAAAAUAAAAUAAAAUAAAAAAUUAAUUAUUGAAAUUUGGGAUUGUUUCAAACAUUAGUAAAAAGUAAGCACCUAUAGAAAUGGGUAAAUACGUGUAUGCAACAAACAAAUUUUUUAAACUCCGAUGCUUGCAAAAGCAGCAAAGCAGCCAUGACAGAUAUAGUUGGUGGGAUUCCAUUAUUGAAAAAGUCAAAUAAUAAAUAAAUAAAAGAAAAAUUCAAUAUAGUUGAAUGAUAAUUAAUUCAAGUUACUAGAAACACGUUUUUAUUCCAUGCGAAAAGUCCACAUUUUGUAACUAAAGAUAAGGUUGUGUGCAUAUUAGUUGGAAUGGUGACAAAUUUGCCCAUUUCCUCUUAAGAACUAGUCAAGAUGAGAAAAAGUCUAUUGAACAUUAAUUUAUUGAAGGAAUCUGCUUACACUCUCGUAUUAACAUCUUGUAAAUUAUAUGAGAGACGUAAAUCACACUAGGCUGACAAAUCGCAACAAGCUCAACAUAACUAUCCAAAGGGAUUUGAAAAUUCACUUACUCCAACUGCUAGGUUGCGGGACUGUAUCGAACAUUAUUUGGUGAAUAAUGUAAUAACCCAAUUUGACCUAAUUACUGCAUAAAGAAAGGAAUAAAACAUUAUUAUCACUUUAUCUUUUUAAGAAUGUCAUAAUUGUUUGAAAAUUAUGGUUAUUCUCUAAUUUUGUUUCUUUUAUUCAGUGUGCAAUAAUAAAUAGCUUUAGCUGAAAUUCAGUAUUAGAAUGGAUAUAUCUUUAAUUCUUUAAAUUAAAGGCUGUUUAAUUAUCAUUUAUGAAUGGGGUCUUGAUAAUCUUCAUUCAUUAUCAUUCCCAAAAUAAUUUUUUUUAAUUGAUUAUAUUCUCCUUGCAUUUGCGAUUAUUAAAAUCGUCAAACAGCUUUUAAUUCUAAUGAAGGAUAUAAAUGAACUACACAAACCAAUCAAAACAAAUUCGAACACAGCUUUUUCGGGCUAAAAAAACCGGAACAAGUGCUCGACUUAUAGCUCAACUGUUCAACAUACGUGUUUCGCAAACACAUUAGUACACGUUUCUGUUUUGCAAGUCGGUUUCUCUUACAAGAUUAGUUCAGAACAAAUUAAUUAUAAUUUUUUUCGCUAAUUUAAAACUAAUCCAGCAUUUGCAUGCAUGCAUACCUUUGUCAAGAAACGACGCAUUCUAGCGCCUCACUAACCGAGCAACAUUAGAAAGCACAGUCCUCAAGCUCCUGAUACCGGCCCCUGUUUUCGAGCUUACCAUCAUCUGCGGUUUAAAAAAUAGGCUUAUUUGUCAUUUCGAUUUGUCAGAAUAUAAAUUUUGAAAAGCCAGAAUAUCCACUUAACCUAAAAUAGAGACGAAUUAUCUUCUAACAUGAUUCGUUUAUGUGUCAACGAAUGCCAAGUAAACAAAAAUCAGUUAUCGAUGUGUCUCCGUCUUACCAGGGGUUGCACUGCAGACUUCUUUGCUUUGAGAUUCUGUAAAAAUCGAAGAAAUUGGUCCAGGUCAAAAAAAGAGAAGAGUGUUGAUUAAAUAUAAUUUCGAACAGGCUUGCAACACUUACCUCUUCAAUUUGCAUUGCUCGUCGAGCCACGUCGAUUGGGAAAACAGAAUCUGUUUUUGUUAAAACUAUUUGGUACUUGGUUUCAGACCUGCCACCCACAAUCAAAAUGCAGUGGAUAAAUAUUAGCAAUUUUAAAAUUGUAUUUUCCGGUUAGUAUAGGGGGGUUGAAUGCGACAGUUGCUAUAGUACAGGGGUGGGAAAUUGUAUUUUACCCUAAAUACAAUCACGUACAAUAAGAAGCAGUAGCAACAAAAAAACAUAUAGAUGCCGAUAUUGUAAAUUAACACGUAUGUACCUUUCCAUCAAAUCAAUAAGUUCGUGGUCCCUCGGUUUCAAACCCCACUUUGUGUCUACGAGAAGACACACUCGUUUUAGACCAACACGUGUGCUGACGUACUCUUUCACCUGCAAAGUAUGCGUGAAUCGAGGCAUGAAUAAACCCGCUAUUCCUGCCCUAAAGCAAGGGAAGAUAUAUAUAUAUAUAUAUAUAUAUAUAUAUAUAUAUAUAUAUAUAUAUAUAUAUAUAUAUAUAUAUAUAUAUAUAUAUAUAUAUAUAUAUAUAUAUAUAUAUAUAUAUAUAUAUAUAUAUAUAUAUAUAUAUAUAUAUAUAUAUAUAUAUAUAUAUAAGCGAAACCGUAACCCGGCAAAUCCACUAAACAUAGCUUUGAUCCGAGCUUAAAAAAAUUGAUCGUCUGCAAAAAGGAUUGUUAAAUUAUUGUCAGUACGCAUGUCCAAUAUAUUUCGAAUUCGUCUGCAGCAAAAUAUUCAGCACCUGUGUGAGGCCUGGCUUAUCUGAUGUCCGUACAACACCCCACUGUCUGGUUAGUGCAUUAAGCAACGACGACUUUCCCACAUUUGACCGUCCUAACAAAUAAAAUUGAAAUCCAACAUAAAUAUUUAUAUUAUAAAUAAAGCCAGACUACUUUUUUUCCUAGAAGGAUUUUGAUAUAACAAAUUCCAAUUUGCCAAUUUGCCAAUUUAAAAACAUUGCGCGAGGAAAAAAAACAUAAAAACUCAAUUUGCCAAUUUAGUAUCUUCUUAUUUCGACAUUAUAGAAUCUUACGAGUUUACAAAAACCUGGAAUCAUAUAACAAUAUCUUAAAAGCCAAACUUCACUGGGGAAAAGGAUAAACUACUUCUUAAACUGACUGUAUUAAUCAACUUACCUGCAAAUGCAAUCUCUGAAAGAUCGGGAGGGGGAAACGACGAGGAAACCUUUGCAGCAGCAAAGAAUUCUAAUUUAUUUCUAAAUUCCUGUAACAUAAACAGAACGGACGUUUAUAAGUAGAAACAAAAGGUUAUUAUGUAAUAAAUCGAUCUCAGACUCAAAUACUACAGUAGUAGAGUGUUUUACAAUUGAUAAGUACGUACUGGUACUUCAACCCGUUCCCUUUCGGGACCUGUUGACGAAGGAAUGUUGUCUAAAGGAGCAGGAAGCUCGAUGUUGUAGCCAGCCCUCCUAAACUCAAUGUCUCGUCUACGUCCUAAUAACUGAGAAAAAAGAAUAUGUAAAGUUCGUAAGCAUUGUGACCAAAAAUAUUUGAAAUACGGAGUUAUUUAGAGUAUAUAAUAUAUGCUUGCCGAGCACGGAUUUUACAUUGUCUUCUACAAAGGAAAGGAUCGAGGAGCUAGGUUGUAUGGCACGGAAUUGCGCAUUCUUCGACAUUUCAACACCAGUUUUAUCUGGCACAUCGAUCUUUUCUUGACUAUUACCUGGAUGAUGAAAAAAUAAAGCAAAUUAAGAUAAAUACCAAUCAACGCGUUCCUAGAUUAUUUUGGAGUAAUAACAAACGAGGUUACAAAAAACAUGUGUGCGUUUUCGACAUGAAUAAUUGCUUUGGCAUAACAGCUUUGGUUUCAUUCUUAGUUGUGGUGGUAAUGCAGCUUUACAAUGUAAUUGCAAGCCAAAACUCAUGUUAGCCCCAUUUUCAUGAGGUCGUUCACCGAAGAAGAAAACACAAUAGUAGCACUACUACAUAUAGCAUAAUAACAAUGGAUAUAAUAUAGAAAUUCGAAAUCCAGUAAACGAAAAUGUACGGAGAUAAUAUGCAAAACGGAUGGAGGAUCAGUACCCAUCAUAUAGCAUAAUAGCAAGAACAGAAUAUCUCAAAAUCGUAAAAUGAAACAAACACGGAUAUAUCAACAUCAGAACAGAAAAGUACACUAACCAUUAAUAUCAAUUUCAUCGUCAAUUCUCUUGUUGGAUAUAUCACGAGGGUCUAUUCGGAUAACUCGUUUCGUCUUCAUCCGCAGUUCCUCCGUCGAAUCUGAAUUAGCACCCGAGCCUUUCCUAGACGCAUCGUUUUUCUUACGAGGUUUCUCAACAGAACCAACCGAAUCUUUUCUCCGGUUCACAUACGUUUUAGUUGCCAAUAACGGAGCUCUCCUCUUAUCGCCUGUUUUCGACACCCCAUUUUCUAACCCGUUCUCUCGAACACGUCUAGAUUUCCCAUCGCCUAAAUCACUACUUCCCCUGAAUUUAUCACUACUCCCUCUCAACAAUCUGUCUCUGCUAGAAUCCUUAAAUUCACGACGGUCGUUGUCCCCCCUCGAGAGCUUCUUGCGUUUAUCGACAAACGACCCGACAGUAGUGUUUCUUGAUUUAGAACUGGAGUUUCGAUCACUACCAUCAAAUCUUUUACCCCCCUCAACCACCACACUGGGAUUAUCAUUAUCAGCAUAGACUCUCUUCCGUUUAUUAUUACCGGAAGAGUUGCCAUCAAUAACAGUUCCAAAACCUUCAUUUCGACUCUUCGCUUUGAAAUCCCUUUUCCCCUCCUUCGUACCCGAUUUCUCAUCACCGUUUCGCACUUCAUUUCGACUCUUUGUUUCGAAAUCAAUUUUCCCCUUGGUACGUGUUUCACCCGAUUUCUCAUCACCGCUCCGCAAUUUUUUACCCCCUUUCUUCUUCUUGUUGGAAUCUAGGGUCGUAUCAACAUCGAUCGACACUUUCAAAACCCCUGUAGCAGCUCUCAUUUUCCGAUGAGCUUUAUCAACGCCGGUGUUUCCCACCGCAACUCUCACUUUUCUACCAACUCUAGUACCACCGCUAUUACUCGACCUCAUUUUUUCAAACGCCAUUUCUCAGAAAUUCGCUCGGUAAAUACCAAUAAAAACAGCAAAUGGUGGAAAACGGAGCCAAUAAACAGCAAAUAUGGAAAUCAGAGCUGAUAAGGAAUCCCACACACUACGUGUUCCACAGAAAGAAAUAAUUCAGAGAUAAACAUGAUUACAGAGCUCGGGAAAUCAAGGAAUCGAAGUGGAAUACCUCAAUUAGAAUGACAGUGGUACUGUGUAAAAGAUUUAGAGCAAGGGUUUAGCCAAAUUAUUUCUGAUUUUUUUUGGGCGAAAAAUGAAGAAUUAACUAACGUAGGCGGAAAAAGAUGAUAGCUUUGAAUUGGGUACAUGGGCCAAGCCUAGGGUCUUGUUUAGGCCCAACCUAUACUAUGCGGGCUGGCCCGGAUUGGACGGGCCCUAAAAACUUGUUCUAAAUAGUGUUCUAAACAUCGGCUGAGGCGGCCGAUUAAUCAGUCUCCGAGACGGAGGCGGUCAAAAACCUUUACGAUUUUAGGGUAAAUGUUUGAAAAAUUGGUUUUUUGUCUGUGAGGCGGUUUUUGGCAGUCAAACCUUUAUGGCGGGUCAAACUUCGGUGGCAAAAAUCGUUUUUUUUUUUUUUUAUAAUUCAAAAUAAAAUUUGGGAUUUUAAUAAAUAAAAUAUGAUUUUAUGUUUUAUUUUGUUUAUGUUAAUUGUUAUUGUUAAAAAAACUAAUGAUGUAUGCUAGGAAUGUUCAAGAAUAAAUGUAAAACAUUGUCUUUUUAUUUAUAUUUUAUAAGGAUAUUUAUGUAUUAUGAUCUUAUUAUUAUUAAACUUUUAUUAUAUUAUCAGGAUAUAUACAUGAUGGAGAUAUAACUAUGUUUAAAUAUCUUUUUAUAUAUGUUUUGAGUAUUUAUAAAUAAGGGUAAAUUACACCCACACCCCUGAGGUAUGCUUAAAUAACUUUAAGGUACUUGUGGUAUCGAUAAUUACACUCAUCCCCUUGAAACGUAGUUAUAAACUCUAAUGGGAUAAUGCAUUGGAUACGUUAUUACGAUAGAGUUCUAACGGACUAUUGGUUUCAGGAAGUGGUGGAGACAACAAAGAGUUAUGAGUGAUUUAAGAAAUAUUGGGGGAGCCAUGUCACCUCAUAACUCCCCAUAACUCUAUGUUAUCUCCACCACUAGCUAAAAUUAAUAGUCCAUUAGAACCCUAUCGGAAUAAUGUAUCCAAUGCAUUAUCCCGUUAGAGUUUCUAACUAUGUUUCAAGGGGUGAAUGUAAUUAUCGAUACCAUAGAGACCUUAAAAUUAUUUAAGCAUACCUCAGGGGUGUGGGUGUAAUUUACCCUAUAAAUAAUAUAUAGAAAUAUAUUAUAUUAAAUUUUAAAAACAGAUUUAUCACCGAUUAAUCACCGCCGCAUCGAUUAAUCAUGAGUCGGUCCCUAACCGCCUCCGACCCAAUUACCACUUUUUACAACAUUGGUUAUAAUAUGACCCAUUCAUUCAAAAAAUUAGGGUUGAUACCGUCUUAGGUCGAUCGAUUAACAGCCUGAAAAUUGCCCCAUCCGAUAAAUCACAUUUGCUCAAAUUUGAAAACCGUGGUUGAUCCAACAUUUGUGGGUCAGUUGAUGGUUGUCAACCGAAGUUUUGGUAUGGAUUGGUUGAUGGUUAAUGCCCAUCACCUAUUUCACUUUAAAAAAAAAAUCAGAUUUUGGAGUAAAAUUAUACACAUUAUGCGUAUUGUCACUACACAAUCAUCAUUUAUCACUUCAAUAUAUUAUUAGCAAUUUGACAAAAACACUAUAAUUAAGAAAUUUCAAUGUAAUUAAGAAAACCACGCCCUUUAUUUUAUAUUUUUUAAUAAUAUAGUUGUUUGACCGGACUUUUGAAAUAUUAGAAACCACCAACGAACCAUUAUAGACACUUUGGUCGAAAUCUUCGACCAUCAAAUGCGUCUGUUAAAAAAUUAUUAUUCCCUACCAAAAAUAACUAAACACAAAUAAACCCACCCCCUACGCCUAUUAAUACUCCAAGCCAAACAUUAAUUAAAGACUUAUCCUCUUUUCAGUUUGAAAUAUAAUUUAUUUAUUUAUUUCAUUCUUUCCCUCCAAUUUUCAUUGCUUAUUAUUAAUUAUAAUUUAUAAAUAUAAAUACUUCAAAAUCUCCUCGUGGUGAGGUCUAUUGAUUGAUAGUUGGGUAAAUCGAAGAGGCUAGGGCUAAGCCGGCAGCCCCCAAUUACUGCCGGCCAUGGCUUUCUCAUCGGAAAAUGCUCUGUUCAACAAAUACGAGAUCGGAAAACUUCUCGGCAGCGGCGCGUUCGCGAAGGUGUACCACGCGAGAGACAUGGCCACCGGCCAAAGCGUCGCCAUCAAAGUAAUCCAGAAAACCAGGCUGAACAACGACGCCAACCUCAUCGCCGCCAUCAAGCGCGAGGUCUCAAUCAUGAGCCGGCUGCGCCACCCGCACAUCGUCAAGAUCUACGAGGUCCUCGCCACCAGGACUAAGAUCUACAUCGUCCUCGAAUUCGUCAGGGGCGGGGAGCUCUUCGCGAAGGUUUCCAAGGGCCGGUUCGGCGAGUCCGCCUGCCGGAAGUACUUUCAGCAGCUCAUCUCCGCCGUCAGCUACUGCCACUCCCGUGGCAUCUACCACCGGGAUCUGAAGCCGGAGAAUCUCCUCCUCGACGAGAACGGCGACCUCAAGGUUUCCGAUUUCGGCCUCAGCGCGGUGCUCACGGAUCAGGUCCAGCCCGACGGGCUGCUGCACACGCUCUGCGGCACGCCGGCGUACGUGGCGCCGGAGAUUCUCACUAAGAGAGGCUACGACGGCGCGAAGAUCGACGUCUGGUCGUGCGGCGUCAUCCUAUUCGUCCUCUCCGCCGGGUAUUUGCCCUUCAGCGACACCAAUUUGAUGAACAUGUACAAAAAAAUCUACAAGGGGGAAUUCCGGUGCCCUAAUUGGAUGUCCUCCGGUCUGAAGCGGUUUUUGUCUCGUCUUCUCGAUACGAACCCCAGCACCAGAAUCACCAUUGAUGAAAUCAAGCGUGAUCCCUGGUUCAGAAAGAGCUACAGAGAGAUCGAUUCAUUCCAUGAAAACGAAGAAUCGAAGGAGAAGAAAGUACUGCUGGGUCUAAACGCUUUCGACAUCAUCUCUUUCUCUUCGGGUUUGGAUCUAUCCGGAUUGUUCGAUCGGAGUGUCAAGGAGCUGGAGGAUGUCGAGAGGCUGACGGUGGAGGAGUCGCCGGAGAGAGUUAUUGAGAAGGUGGAGGAGGUGGUGAAGGCGGCGGUGGAAGGGGGUGUGGCGUUGAAGAGGAGGAGGAAGAAGGAAUGCGGGGUGGAGCUUGAGGGGCAGAAUGGUAAAUUCAUUGUGAUGGUGGAGGUUUACAGGUUGACCGACACGCUGGCGGUUGUGGAGGUGAAGAGGAAGGCUGGGGAAGCAAAUUUGUUCAGCAGUUUAUGGAAGGAACAAAUUAGGCCGGUGAUUUCGCGGCAACCGGAUCUGCUGGUUGCCGGUAACUAGGUUGUUGAUAAUUGCAGGUUUUUUGGUAAAAUGUAAAAAAAAGGAAUAUAGGAAUAAAGGAGCAGGAAAAUAAUUAAUUAAUUAAUGCAAGCCCAAUUUAAUUGAAAAUAAUUAAAUUUAGCUUGUUUGUCGAAAAUGAAAUGUAUAUAUAUACAUACAGAGGAAAAAGGAUUGUAAAAAUAGGAGCGCGUGAAAUAAAAUCACCUCUAGGGGAUUAUUUUUCUUGUCUGUAAUGUAAUGAUGCUUUUACAAUUUAUUGUUUGCAUCUUUAAUUUUAAUUCUCAAAAAUAAAAUAAAAAUAAUAAUAAAUAAAUAAUAAUUCGGAUCACGAAUAUUUAGUACUUCGGCCCAGUUAACUCAUAUAUUAAUUCAUAUACAAUGGGCCGAGCUUAUUUAAGAAGCCCAAUUCAGUUGUGGUAUUAAUUCCAACAUAGGAGGAAUUCCAAUUUCCGCUAUUAAGAUCUGAAAUUUUUCAAUUUUGAAACAAUAUUUUUCAAUCUGAAUUCCGAAUUCCAAUUUUAUUUUUGAAAAUUAUUUGGAUUGGAAUUCGAAUAUAUAUGAGAUUUCGAUUUCCGAUCCGAUUUUAAGUUCCGUAAAUAAUCAGAAAACUCCGAUUUUUUUCCUCCGAAUAUUACACUUAAAAUACCGAUGUAUUACGUAUUUUAUAUUUCAUCUCUAGCUUUCCUAACAAUUAUUUGAAUCUCCUCUAAAAGUAAUCAAAAAAAAAAAAAUUUAUUUAAAGAUAUUUCACAAAAAAACAAAUUAAAACUUGUUUAAAAAUCCACAAAACUUUAUAUAUGUAGGGCUAAUAAUACUGUUAUAUCAUAUGAUAUGAUAGGUCAAAUAAAAUAAAACCAGGGUAGCCUUAUCAUCCUCUAAACAGAUUCUAGAUAGCUUCUAUGAAAACUAUAUCAUCCUAUUUUGGAUCAAAUAAUUAAUAGCUCCAAAUUCCUAUGUUCAUUUUCCAUUAAAAUGUAACACUGUAAAUAAUAUAAAUAUAUUAUAUAUUAUAUUAAGGCACCUGAGAGUGUACGUAUACUUAUAUAUAUGCAGUGAUAGCAAUUGAUGAAGGCUGCAAAACCAUGGUCCUUGCAACCUCAAAACGGGACCCCCCUUUUCUCUUUUAUCAUUUAUGUAUCAUAUAAUAAAUACAAUUUAUUUACUUAUUUAUUUAUUUAUUUUUCGUCAGAAUCGUAUGAACUUAAUGGUUUAAUACAUACUUAGGUGGUGUUUGUAAAAGCUUUUACAAAUAGAUUAUGAGUUUUUUUUAUGCAUAUAAUCUGUUUUUAGGUGUUAGGAGAACAAAUUUUUGUUUUUGCUUCUCAUAAAUAAGCUGUUUUAUAAUCUAUAAUUUUAAAAACACCUGUAUUGAUUUUCCAACUAAUUAUUUGCAAACACCUCAAUAUUUAGAAUCAAACACUUCGAUCGGAUGUGUUUGCAAAAGCUUUUACAAACAAAUUUAAGUUGAUUUUUGAGCAAAUUUGCAAACGCCCCCAACUUCUAGAUAUAAAAACUGACUUAAUUAUUCACAAUCUUUAACUUCUGAUUUUAAAUAAUUUUUUUUACAAACACCACCCUAGUUCGUACCACUACAAGUCUAGUUAGCGGUUCGAAUUAAACUCCCGACCAUCCACCAAAUUUUCACUAUAGAAAAUAUUCCAAUAUACACAACUAACACUUGGGCUUAUAAAUAUUAAAUUUCCCCAUGUACAUAUAUAUCACCAAUUAUAUACAUAUAUCAUUGACCAAGUUACAGUUUGAUGCAUUGCACAACUUUGAAGGUUGAAACACAUUACAAAUUGUGUAAAGUAAGAUUGAAUGAGGCAUUAUAUUGAAUUUAUUUUAUUUAUUUAAGUACACUGCACAAAAAGUUAUGUAUGUAUGAUCAAUGUGUGUAUAGUAAGGUUACAAUUGUUGGUUUUACUGUUUUGUCCGCAUCUUUUUGCCUUGUGGAAUCUAUUAAAGUGAUGAUGGAUUGGAAAGGGGGCAAAUGGCCUUCUCAUACAUUAACCCUCUUGUGAGGGUAUUUUAGUCUUUCUUUCUUUCUUUUUUGUUUUGGUUCUUGUUUGGCAAUGAAGAUUGUUAAUGUUUUAUAUGCGUAUAAAAACAGUACAGACUCCCGUCCGUCUUUAUGUUAUACAUCGUUCUUGCACACACUUCGAACUUGUGGGUUUUGAAACAUGGAGUUUCCCGUGUCCGUUUUCCUAUUUCGUCGUAUCGAUGUUUCUGUGUCCGUGCUACAUUGUCUAUAAGCUUAAGCUCGUUCCAUUAUCAAUGAAAUUGCGAAUAAUUGGGAAACAAAAAAUUAAAAUUGUUCCUAAAUUGGAAAAAAAAAAUUCAAACCGAAGUGGGGAGAAAUAAAUUACUAUGACUUCCUCCACUAAUACAUAUAACUCUAAUUAUGAAAUAAAGAUAUAUACAUACUCAAUCGACAUAACUAAUUCACUCAAAUUUAAUAAAACACAAAACAAUAAAAUAAAAACAUAUAUAAAAAGACAAACAAAAACAAAAAGUGUAGACCAUAUAAAAUAGAUUAAAAUACACAUAAGCAUCACUUAUAGUAAUAGCGUAGAAUAAAAUGGUGGUGGGAGUUGGUGGUGGUUGUGGUGGUGGUGGUGGUGGUGGUGAUUGUUACUUAGUUUGGGAAAUGUAGUAAGACAGACAGCAAAAAAUCCUAAGACAUCAAAUCUAUGUUCCAAACAUGGCAAUACUAAUGAAUUGACCUUACUAUUAAAUAUUAAUUAAUUAAUCACCUCCCCCCCCCCCCAACCCAACCCCGAGAGGAACCCCGAGUGAAUAAAUCCUGACUAUUUUAUUAGAUAUCNNNNNNNNNNNNNNNNNNNNNNNNNNNNNNNNNNNNNNNNNNNNNNNNNNNNNNNNNNNNNNNNNNNNNNNNNNNNNNNNNNNNNNNNNNNNNNNNNNNNUUUCAUAAUUCAUAAUAUUUUGGACUUGUUAGAAGAAGUCUUGUGUAAUUUACACUUGGGUAUUUAUUUUUUUAUGGAUUUUGGAUAUAUAUUUAAAAAAUUAAAAUUUAUAAUAUUGAUAUAUAUAUAUAUAUAUAUAUAUAUAUAUAUAUAUAUAUAUAUAUACUCCGACCGUGACAAUUAACAAUACCUGUUACAUAGUGCCCAUUUUAGCUUUUACGAUGAUAUACAGAUAUCUCUUUGUCUUGAGAUCUUUUAUUUUGAUUUUAUUAGUGAUAUUAGUAUAUUUUUUCUUCAUAUAUAAUAUUAUAUUGUAUAAUUUUUUUUUAUCUGAGUUGAUUAAGUAUUGGCAAUUAAACAAGGUCUAUAAAAAAAUAAAUGAAUUAAUUACUUGUUCGUGUUGUGUUUGAAUGUGUGGUCAUAAUUAAUUAAUUAAUUAAAUGGUAUGGUGCAGAAUGCAGAGAGAACCAAUAAAUGGGAGAUGGGGAAAGGAGUGAGUAAUGGAAGAAGGCUGCUGCUAGGUGGGCCCGGGUCAUCGCCGCCGCGAUGCAAUUACAAAUGCGGCAAAUGCACGCCGUGCAAGGCGGUGCAUGUGGCGGUGCCGCCGCGUGGGAUGAGAGUGACGGCGGAGUACUACCCGGAGGCUUGGAGAUGCGAGUGUGGCAAUCGCUUGUAUAUGCCCUAAUUAAGUUCUAAUUAAUUACCUUUUUCCAUGAACAUGUUAUUUGCAACAUAGAAUAAUGAUUUAAUGGGUAAUUAGAUGGUUUAGUGCAAAGAUGUUAUUAUCUUUAGAUGUGUGGUUGAUCCUCCUAUUGACACUCAAACAUAUCCGUGUGUAGUAGGGGUGAAAAUUGGAACGAAAUUUUCGAUUUCGUCGAUUUCGAUCCAAUUUUUUCGGAUUUUGGAAUAAUAUCUUUCAUUUUGAAAAUCCAAUCCUGAUUUUUUUUUUUUUUUUUUCUGUGUCGAGAUUGGAUUAUAUAUGAGAUUCCCUUUUUCGAGAAAUCCGUUUGUUACACUUUCGGUAACAAUAUUAUUAUACAUUUUUAUAUUUUAGGUGACAAAAAAAUUGGAACUUUCUGAAUUUCGUUGGACCAGAAAAAAAAUAAAAAUAAAAAUAAAAAUAAAAAAGGAAAAAAGUUUAUAGAAGCAAGAAAAUUAAGGGUAAAUUAUGAAAAACCUCUGAACUUAGGCUAAAUUAUAUUACAAAAACGCCUCAACCUAGCCAUAAUUACCAAAAUACCCCUGAUCUUUAUUUCUGUCUUACACCGACCCCCUUACGGUAUGAUUGUUAACGUAAAUCUUUUUUAUUCUAGGAAACAUUCUCCGAAAAAGACCAAUAUAACCCUGCAUAUGUUGACAUAUUUAAUGUAGCCAUUCACAUUGUUUAAAAAAUUGCCUAAAUAUGCUAUAAUGAUUCAUAUUAACAAUGGAAGAAGUCUACUAACAUUGCAAUAUGACAUAUUAAAGAAAAAUAGGUUACUGUAGAAGGUAUAUUAAAACCACUUAUCUUUAAGAUGCUGCUGCUUUUAGGGGUAGAAUCAACAUUUUUGAGGAAAUAUUUUCUAAAAACAAAAAGAUCAGGUGAAAAACCACACUGAACGGGGUCCGUGUACGACGGAAACAAACGUGAGAGCGAUUUUGGUAAUUACGGAUAGGUGGAUGCAUUCUUCGUAAUUUAGUCUAACUUUGGGGAUUUUUGUAAUUUACAUUAAAAAUAAACAAUUGUCAUGAACUAUUGGAGAACAAAUCUUUGCAGAGCUCCCCAUAGAAUCUGCAGACCAAAUCAAUAUACACCGGAGAAUUCAGAUUCUUCCAGCAUUCAAGAAGCUCUUCUGCGUCGACCAAAUCUCUCAUCUUCCCAUCUUCUCCGAUCAUCUCUAUCAGAUACUUCUCGAAACUCUUGCACGCAUCUUCCACGUCAUCAUCAUCUGGUAUCGCCACUACUGCUCGAUCUCUUUUAUGGGGCCCACCCAUCCUUACAUACGCCGGCGUGAGCGGCGACGAGUGCGGCGCCCUGUGGUCGGAAUAACUCGACGUCGUCAGCAUCGCCACUCGGCCCGUCUUCUCCGAUCUCUUCUCCCUCAGCGAGUGCAAGAAAGACUGCAUCUUUGAGAUGCACCCUUCCUGUAAUUUACUCUUGAUUUUGGGUUUCCGGUGGUGGCGGCGGCGGGAAUGAAGGGGCCUGAUGCAGACGGGUCUCCGGAGGCGGAACUUGAAGAGGUGGAGGAUUCUCUUGCAUGGUUUGAAGAGCUUGAAUUUGAAUGAAGAAAUAUGCCUCAGUUUCAUCGGAGAAACACGCACACAAUGUGUUUGAUGAUUUGUCUGAAUGGCUGCAGUUGUCUGCCUUAUUUAAACAAGUGGAAAUAAAUAGUGUGUGGAUUUCACGUCGUCUACUUCCAUUUGCCGAAGUGCUGUACCAUGAACUGUAACUUUUGAGGCCUCUCAAGGAAUAUUUUAAUAUAAAAAUUAGUCUAAAAGAUUUUAUCCUACUAUUAAAUUAUUUUAUUUAAAUUUAGAUAUUACAAGUAUUAAUUAUUAUUUUGACGACUAAUUCUUUUCGUUUGAAAUUGCACACUACUAAAUUUAUAUAUUAGUAAGUAUUCUUUGGACCAUUUCUUUUCAUUUUGAAAAUUGCACCUACUUUUGAGUUUUGACUAUUGUUAAGUAGGGGGCGAUUGACUAAGAGUUUGUGACCACUUUUUCGCCUGCACAAAUUUGUUAGGUACACAAAUAUAAUGAUACAUAAAAUAGAAAUCGGAAAAUAAAGAAGGGAAAGAGAUGGACAAAAAACAGUAGUUUCAACAUAUGGAAAUGUUAUUACUUUUAAACGGUUCAAUUCCCUAUUGUCCAAUGUUCGAUCCAGAAAUUCUAAUGGAUGGCGACUCCACUCGGAAACUAACACCAAGUCACAGCCACACAGACAACCAGUCAAACAGAACAUUCUUACACUCAGUUAACUUUAGUUUUCUCUCCAUCAUAGACUCAAUCAGUAACAUAAUGGGAUUGAAAGAAGAAAACCUAAGGAUGCGUAGAGAUAAUUAGGUAUUACAUUUGUCCCUCUCUCUUAUAAGGGCAGUAUAAAUAGGCACAAAACCAAUGGUAAGCGGCAACAAAGUUGCUCCUAAGUUAAAGUCGGCCAUGUAAGGCAAAGACUUUGUAAAGAAUUACCGAAAAAUGAUAACCUAAUGACAAAGGUACUGUUCAGAAAGAGAGGGAGAAAAGAUAAGAGAGAAGCGGCACAUUCAAACUGAGACCAUGGUUGAGAGGAGACAGCAAAGUCCAAGUGAAUGGACGUUUACAAUUAAACAAAAUAAUCUGAACGGUCAAGAUCAAGAUCAAGAGCAUUGACUAUGAUCAAGAGGGUUGAUUAUGAACGACUAUGAUCAAGAGGGUUGACUAUGAACUGAACACUAAUUGGUUUGGACAUUUCCAAAAAUUGGGCCGCCGAGAUUUAUUUGAGUCUUGUGCCCAAUCCCAAUAUUUUGGUUUUGUAAGAACUUCCCCGCUUUCUUUAUAAAGUUUCUCAGAUCCAGCAGCCGAAUUCUCAAUCAAAUAUAUUUUCCCCAAUCGAAUUUCGUCGAACUUUUCAACUACUCAAUCCCAAACACAUUUUCGUCACACGCCACUUCAUAAAACAUUUGUCCAAUAAAAACAAAAACGAAAAAAUCAGACGCCAUAAGCAGAACUAGUCAAUAUACAAAUUCCCUGUAACAAAGUAAGAUAAUACUUGCCACCAAAAAAAUGGCAUUAGGUGUCCUCUACCCAAAAUGUACUAAAUGAAACCCUACUUUACAGCUAUCCUGUUCCGUAAAACAGUCAUAAAACAACCCGAAAUCAGUCUCCAAAAAAAAAAAAAAACAGUUCAGAGAUUGCAAACUAAGAAAGCCAAUUAUAUACCUACCUAAAAAGCCCUCCUCUCUCUAGUCUGUUAGACUCAUCUAAAACUCGAUAUAAAUCCUUUCUCACUCUUUUUUUUUUUGUACAAUUUUAACCAUAUCCAAAUCCCUUCUUCUACGCAGUCUCAUUGUCUCAACGGGGGAAACUCAUCUUCAUUCUUAAGGUGGACUAUCGGCACUGAAACCCUGAAAAAACCCCAACAAAUGAAUUAUCCAGAGCAUUAAAACAUUAUUAUCUAACAGCAUUAAACGCAUAUAUAUGUUUUUUUUCACACCUUUCUUUUUUAGUACUACUACACUGAGUCGAGGCAAUAACACCCGAAGAAGCUGCAAUAACUUCUUCUGCAAGAUUCCCAAUCGAACCAAAUUCAAUUCUACUCAACUUACGGCUCUUUUGAUCCCCAUUAUUAACCGAACGAGGUGAUUGGCUCAUCGAUUCUUGAGAUCUUCUUCUUGCAGAAGGUACAACUUCAUCGACCCCAUUUUCGGAAUUCUUUGGCUGAGACGGAGCAGUAUAAGCACACGAGCCGUUAACUCGUUUAUGCCUAUGAAAAUGAUUAUGAUGAUUGUGUGGUGGUGCCUUGUUUCUGCUCCAGCCUUGUGUAGGUCUCUCCCUGUUAAAAGCAUUCUGCGUAGAGUAGAUCACAGCUAUAUAUAUUACGCAGAGAUAAAACACGAGACACAAAUACUGAGGAGAAAAAGACUACCCUACCACAUGCGGAAAGUAAGUGCCGGUUCCUUGUGAUGCCCUUUGUGCAAAAUUAGCUAACUGGCCCACGUUUUGCUCGAUUUGAAAUGGGGUUGAACUCAUUUGAGAGAAUUGAACCCGACAGGCUGGCAUCGGUUGAGGAAGAGUAUCAGAUAAUGGUUUUUUGUUCGAAACCCUCGAAGGCAAGAAUGGCGUAUGAUACGCUACGGAUGUAGAUAAAGAAAACCCAUGGCAUAGUUGACCGUAUAAAAGACUCCUAAUAUGGCUCUCGUAAUCACCCCUAAGGUCAGCCAAAGGAUUGAAAGCUUCCGAUUCUCCACCCACGCUUUUCAAGUCCAUCUCCUUAAAAUCAAGGGCAAUAUGGUCUGUGAAAUUUGACUUUGCAUGCGAGUUGUCCAAACACCAUUGAUACGUAUUGUUCGUUUCCCCGUUUUCUUCGCGGUUAUCCAACCAUGUAUCCAAGCAGAACUUCUCAUUUUCAGCAGAUAAUUUGGAAGAGCAGUAAAACGGUUUGUGGCUAUGGUUCCAAGAACUGUUAUUGCUGCUCGAAGCAUAUUCCGGCACGCCAUUAAUUAGACUGGAAUUAGAAGUUGCAAGCUCAGAAUGUCGGUUGCUUUCAUUCUUGAAUUCUAACCCUAAACUGUCGUUAUCGUCACAGACGGAUGAUUUCAAGAUGAUGUCAUCCUCGGAGGACAAUUCAACAGGGGAUGAGGAAUAUGCAGUCGAAGAAUCUUCGUCUCCAAAUUCUAACGUCAACCCUUGAGUGCCACUUCGGUAGUCACUUCCAUGCCUUGCAAUGGUAUCUGCAAAGAACUCACUGAUCUCAUCAGCAAUUUUGUCUUUCGGUUGUUGGAAAACUUUACCAAGCUUGCGGGCCCCGUACUUGAAAGCACUUCGUAUUCGAUAAAAAUUGCCUACAAGGGAGCAAAGGGCCAAUAAGAACACAUGUCAUAAUACAGUAAAUCUGAAAUUCCAAGAUAACUGAAAAAUAGUUUUGUGAACUUUAUUAUUGAGCAAGACUAUUAGUUGACUCAAAUUAUUCAGAGACUACAAUACAGUCGCAGUUUAAUCUGGUAUCACCCACUAAAUAGUAAUUUGACGUAAUAAUUUAGCUCAUUACAGUGCGAGAAAAUCAUUUCAAGAAAGAGGUUAUAACCGAUAGAUGAUAUUAUUAUUACCUCUGUGAACACUGCGUCCUAGAUUGUUAUUUUCCUUCAACGGAUCAAUGAUAUUAAGAUAUUUUGUCUGAAAUGCUUUCGGUUUUCCUUCAACCACUCUUGACGAAACUGAGAACAUCUCCAUGCAGUUCUCCAAAAAUUCUUCACUGAGCAUCAAAUCUUUCCGUUCACUUUCUGGUGUCUUUACUGUAGAUAAAAUGAAUAGGAGCAACCAUUAUUCAAGAACUAAAAUAAUACGGGUGUGGGAAUAUGUGACACAGUUACAAUGUUGUGAAUUAAUUUCAGACCAUUUCCAUAAUUGAAAACACCGUUUCUUACCCACUAUAUCAGGGAGUGAUGAUUUACAAACCGGCCCUUUCAAACUGACGCAAUAGUUCUCCCAGUCAAACUGGCUGUAGUACUCCAAAAAUUUGUAGAGCACCUAUAUAGAAACAACCUUAAAAAAUUUGACUACUCCAUUCAUUUGCAUGUAAAUUCAUAAUUGAACGUCGAAAACCGCAUAAUCACAGUAGUUACCGAUAAUGGGCCACUUAAGGAUGAAUGGAAGAGAUGGAAUAUGUAGAGGAUAAGUGUUUCCAAAGCAUACGUAGAUAUUAAACCAUGGUGUGCACCAAGUACACGACUCUCAUAAUAACACCACGCUUUAACGAGGAUAAUGCUGCGUUUAAAGAGAUGAUUUCUCCCAACGAGGCGAUCAACCUGCAAAGAAGAAGUUCGUAGGAAAUCAAGUGAAAGAAAUUAAGUCAAUCUUCUUCAAAAAUUGUUAUAAAUCAAGGGACUAUAUACCAAAAUAUGAAUGGCAUAAACACCAAAAUUGGCAUGCGUGUAUGUAUUUCAAGAAUAUAAAAAAUGAUUGCUACCUGCUCUAAGAAACAAAGUGUAGAAAGUCCACCUAAUUGAUUGAAUGAUAUAUCUAUCACAAUGUUUUGCACGAGACAUUUCACGAGUUUAACCUGCCAUCAGAAGAACAGACGUAAUCAGAUAAAAAUAAACCAAACAAGAUGUUUAUAAAUAUAUAUCGAGAAGCAAACAAAGUCGAUCACCAAACCAACCAACAUUAUUAAAUCACUAGAAAUAGUAUUCUGAACAAGUGACUCCUUCAAAAAGAACCGCAAACCCAAUUUCCACAUAAGAGUAUAAUCAGCAUUCCGAAAUCUUAAUAUUCCCCAAAACAGGUUGAAAAUAAGAGACAAUGCAUAAUCCCAAAGUCACUUUUAUGUUCAACAUAAGAAGGUAUUCCCAUUAAUAAAAACAUAAAAAGCAAGAAACAAUAUGCAGGUUUGAAAGUCGAAAAUAUCAGCUACAUAAUAAAUAAAAAGAGCUGCUACGAAGAAUUUCGAAAUAUUACCUCAGCAUCAAUAAAUUGAGGAUCCUUAACUUGGAACUCAGCAUUUUCAUUUUUCUCUUCUCUUUGUAGAAGAGCAAAAACUUCAUGAGCCAAGACUUCCUCACCUUCAAGACCUUUAACGGCAGUCAAAUCAAUAUCUCCAUCAGGUAAGUAUGUCUUGAGAGGCACUGACCCAUACGGGAAAACCUGCGAGACGUAAACACCAAAUUAACCCUUUAAACAACCAAAUACCUUAACGAAUACUAGAAUAUCUUUUUCGUCUGGACUGCACAUCUACCAUGCGGUUUUCUUGAUCAACAUUCAUCGCAGAGUGAGAAUGAACUAAGAAACAUCGUUUUAGAGCUACAAGAAGAUUCAAUCAAUACAUAGCACGAUAUAUGAAUUAUCUAUUUGGAGAUGAUCCCAAGCGAAAAAAACACAAUCGAAGAUUUUAUAAACAUGUAAAAGGAAAUAAAAUAUAAUGACAUCAGCUACACGUAUUCAGUGAUCAGUUAAAAAGUUUUCAAUCAGCUACCAUUACACAGUGAAUCAGAUCAACAAAACCCGCACAUACGACCUCGACACAAUACAUGAAUUAACAAUAAUCAAACCCCAAAACAAUCUUUGGAUCGACAUACAAAUGCAUCGGCAUUGCAGCAAAAGAUCAGAACCUAUUUUAUUCUCAAUGAAUAUAAUAACACCACCUUUUCCCACAAAUCGAAAACAAUCAAUUAAUAAUUAAACCUGCAAAAAAGGCCUAAAAGCAAGAUUUAAAAAAAAAAUUAUAAAAUUAUAAAAAAAGCUCAACUCAUAGAAACAGGGCCACCUUCAGAUUCCGACAUAAAGAAGACUUUUUCUGUAAACCAAAAGUCAUAGAUGAAUUGACUUCAGAAUUACCUCACAAUUAAUCUGACUUUUGAUUAGCCGCUGAACAUAAUCAAUGACGUCUCUCCUCUUCUCCUCCGAGUCAAGUGUAGGGUGCACACAAUUCACCACUUGCUGCGCCGCCGCCUCCGCCGCCGCCGACAAACACUCCUCGCUCAACGGCGCCGGAUCAGUCACUGUACAUGACUUCCACCCCAAAUCCACCUCUGAAAUCUCCACCCCAAGCUCACCCAUCCUAAUUUUUUUAGCCCUUUCUAUUCGCAAAAAAUUAAAAAAAAAAAAAUCAAAAAAAAAAUCAAACAGUAACGGAAGAAGAAUCCCCAAGGGCUUUCACCACCAUCUUCUUCAUUACUGAUUGUUUCUCGUUUUGUUUUUUGCUGUUACAUAAAAAAAGGAGAGAGAAUUCUACAAGGCAAAAUUGAAAAAGGGGGGUUUUAAAUUUGGGGUUUCGGUUCCAUUGAUCCCCCACUGUAUUUGUGUAUAUACAUACAUGUAUACAUACACACACAAUUAAAAAGUCGGAAAAUCGGAAAAACAAAAAAAGGAGAAAUUCUGAGAAGACGACAAAAUUGCAAUAACAAUUGCGUUUUGUUUGUUUGC
This 34644-nucleotide long non-coding RNA is filed under the name Erythranthe guttata (spotted monkey flower). Its description in RNAcentral is "long non-coding RNA (EGUT_LNC000007)". Lineage: Eukaryota; Viridiplantae; Streptophyta; Magnoliopsida; Lamiales; Phrymaceae. The record is from RNAcentral.